UGAACUGAAAUCCCAUGAGCUUUAAUAGGACUAUUCUCCAUCACAUAAUUGUGUUGUUAAAAGCCAGGAAUGACAUGCUAACUGUCCAUGCUAGAAGGCCUUCAUCUUGCAUUAUCCAGCAGAUUCAUCAAGACUCUCAAGAGGAUUUGAGCAGUGAACGAGGGCGUGCUUCAGUGGGUACAUGAUGUCAGACAGUGGGCUACUGAGGGAUUCUGUAGGUACCAGAUGUGAUGACCAACAUAACCUUCAGAAAUCAACUGAACAAAUGUUUCUAGCUUUUAUAAUCAGACUGGUAU
Molecule: long non-coding RNA, 296 nt
Organism: Carassius gibelio (silver crucian carp)
Lineage: Eukaryota; Metazoa; Chordata; Actinopteri; Cypriniformes; Cyprinidae
Exons: 3
Source: RefSeq, a predicted model, not a curated record